Molecule: ribosomal RNA, 247 nt
Filed under: Klebsiella pneumoniae
Lineage: Bacteria; Pseudomonadati; Pseudomonadota; Gammaproteobacteria; Enterobacterales; Enterobacteriaceae
Also listed under: 1 other name
Description: partial 23S ribosomal RNA
Rfam family: Bacterial large subunit ribosomal RNA
Source: RNAcentral
GGUUAAGCGACUAAGCGUACACGGUGGAUGCCCUGGCAGUCAGAGGCGAUGAAGGACGUGCUAAUCUGCGAAAAGCGUCGGUAAGGUGAUAUGAACCGUUAUAACCGGCGAUGUCCGAAUGGGGAAACCCAGUGUGAUUCGUCACACUAUCGUUAACUGAAUACAUAGGUUAACGAGGCGAACCGGGGGAACUGAAACAUCUAAGUACCCCGAGGAAAAGAAAUCAACCGAGAUUCCCCCAGUAGCG